Molecule: long non-coding RNA, 1512 nt
Organism: Salvia hispanica
Lineage: Eukaryota; Viridiplantae; Streptophyta; Magnoliopsida; Lamiales; Lamiaceae
Source: RefSeq, a predicted model, not a curated record
ACUACACGUCCAUACUCCCUUCCCAACACGUGUAUACAAAAAGAAAAAAAAGAAUAGGUACUGCAUACUCCCAGCCGUCACCAACGCGUCUUCCUCACCAAUUCCUACCAUCAACUCUCUCCCUCUCGACAUUCUCUUCACAAAAAUUAAGGAAACACCCAUCUCUAUUCAUCUAAAUCUCAACUCAGUAAUCGAUAUCGUCUUCUCUCUCUCUCCAUGUCCCAAAAAUUGGAGCAGCCACUCAUUCUCCGUCCCUUUUCUCCUUCGGCGACAGGUUCAUGUUGAAAAUAGUUUCAAACAAAAUGGCCAAAGAUUAUAUCUUGGGAGCGGUUACAGAUUAUUCAAGGAAUUAUUCAAGAAGUUGCAAGGAUGAACUAAAUUCUCGUGGCCUACUGUGAGUGUGCUACCAUGAUUCAUGAAAAUAUGCAGCAAGAAUUUCAUAUGUAAUUGGGAGAAAUAUACCUUUAUGUAAGGGAGAAAGAUAUUGCAAUUGCAGGAGGAAUGAAACUCACGGCUUUCUCCUCUGGAACCCCUCUCUCAGACUUUUUAUUUUUAUUUAUCUUGGAUUUUGAAGAAUGUGGAGAUAUAGAAUAAUUGUAGGCAGAAAACCGAUCAGUAUCAUGGAAGGAUAUAUAUAUAUAUAUAUGUAUAUGUAUAUAUAUAUAUAUAUAUAUGGGUGCAUUAAGGUCCUUACACCCUCUUAGUCUUAAACUUAACACUAAUAUCAGCCCUUGGAUUAAUGAUUUUGAUGGUUAUGAUUUAAAACAUCCGUCCUACAUUAAUACAUAUUUUUGCUACAUUACAUGGGUAAAAUGGGAAAGACACAAACUCAAGCAUCGGUUUUAAACUGCAUGUCCAUAAUUUCCGCCAUUUAAUUAAAACUGUCGAUUUGUAUCCCUCUCUCUCCCAUCAAAUCACAAUUGUGUCUCCCCAAAUUCUCUCUCAUAAAAAACCCUUCCAUCCCCAUUCUUCCACCCAAAUCUCGUCAAAAGCCCUAAUCUUCAACGAUUGAAGACGCCGCCGAAAGAGUUGCUACAAAUCGAAGCCGCGAAGUGUAUGUGGUCGAGUUGGUGUGUCGAUUGAAUCAUACGGUUUACUGUUUUGCCCAUUUGAAGACGAACGCGAACAAGGUACAAAGAGGACCACAAUUGAUUUUGAUGAUGACUUUGACGAUGACAUGCUCAUUGCAUUAGCACACCGGCUGCGACAAGAAAUGCUUGAAGUCAUGUAGGACGAUGAUGUGGUAAAACCUAGGUGAAGCAAGAAGGACAACACUUGUACUUGAGGAGUUGUGCAACAAAGUUGGUGAAGCUGACGUAGAUGCUCAAACAAAGUUUGUGAAGCCAAGGAAGAUGCUCAAGCCCCAAAAAAUAGUGAACGCAGUGAAUGCUUCUGGAAAAGUAUGUUCAAAAUUAUAAUUUGAAAUGAGUACCCUGAAUGUUAGACUUUAUUUGUGGGAACCAAAGAUUGGUUUGUUGUUUUAUAUUGGUGAUGUGGUCGCUUUUGAAAACU